RNAcentral lists this ribosomal RNA (483 nucleotides) under uncultured bacterium. Its description in RNAcentral is "partial 16S ribosomal RNA". It matches the Rfam family "Bacterial small subunit ribosomal RNA", at positions 30 to 507 of the family's 1533-position model. The record is from RNAcentral.
AUUGAACGCUGGCGGAAUGCUUUACACAUGCAAGUCGAACGGCAGCACGGGGGCAACCCUGGUGGCGAGUGGCGAACGGGUGAGUAAUACAUCGGAACGUGCCCGGUCGUGGGGGAUAACGUAGCGAAAGUUACGCUAAUACCGCAUACGAUCUGAGGAUGAAAGCGGGGACCUUCGGGCCUCGCGCGAUCGGAGCGGCCGAUGUCAGAUUAGGUAGUUGGUGGGGUAAAGGCCUACCAAGCCGACGAUCUGUAGCUGGUCUGAGAGGACGACCAGCCACACUGGGACUGAGACACGGCCCAGACUCCUACGGGAGGCAGCAGUGGGGAAUUUUGGACAAUGGGCGCAAGCCUGAUCCAGCCAUUCCGCGUGCAGGACGAAGGCCUUCGGGUUGUAAACUGCUUUUGUAUGGAACGAAAAGGCUCUGGCUAAUACCUGGGGCUCAUGACGGUACCGUAAGAAUAAGCACCGGCUAACUACGUG